AUUGAACGCUGGCGGCAGGCCUAACACAUGCAAGUCGAGCGGAACGGCGGACGGGUGAGUACUGCCAAGGAAGCAGCCUGGUGGUGGGGGAUCAAGUCGGGAGAAGGGAGCUAAUACCGCAUACGAUCAGUCCAGCCUAGGACGGAGGAGCUAGUUGGUGGGGUAAAGGCCGACCAAGGCGACGAACCGUAACUGGUCUGCGAGGAGGAUCAGUCACACUGGAACUGAGACACGGUCACGACUCCUACGGUAGGUAGCAGUGGGGAAUAUUGGACAAUUGGCGAAAUCCUGAUCAAGCCAUGCCGCGUGUGUGAAGAAGGUCUUCGGAUUGUAAAGCACUCUAAGUUGUGCGGCGUUAUCAACAGAAUAAGCACCGGCUAACUUCGUGCCAGCCGCCGCGGUAAUAC
RNAcentral lists this ribosomal RNA (407 nucleotides) under uncultured bacterium. Its description in RNAcentral is "partial 16S ribosomal RNA". It matches the Rfam family "Bacterial small subunit ribosomal RNA", at positions 30 to 526 of the family's 1533-position model. The record is from RNAcentral.